Molecule: ribosomal RNA, 253 nt
Filed under: uncultured bacterium
Lineage: Bacteria
Description: partial 16S ribosomal RNA
Rfam family: Bacterial small subunit ribosomal RNA
Source: RNAcentral
UACGUAGGGUGCAAGCGUUGUCCUGAAUUAUUGGGCGUAAAGAGCUCGUAGGCGGUCUGUCGCGUCUGCUGUGAAAACUCAGGGCUUAACCCUGAGCUUGCAGUGGGUACGGGCAGACUAGAGUGCGGUAGGGGAGACUGGAAUUCCUGGUGUAGCGGUGAAAUGCGCAGAUAUCAGGAGGAACACCGGUGGCGAAGGCGGGUCUCUGGGCCGUAACUGACGCUGAGGAGCGAAAGCAUGGGGAGCGAACAGG